RNAcentral lists this unclassified non-coding RNA (336 nucleotides) under soil metagenome. RNAcentral's name for it is "partial contains 5.8S ribosomal RNA, internal transcribed spacer 2, and large subunit ribosomal RNA". The stretch from base 1 to 120 matches the Rfam family "5.8S ribosomal RNA", at positions 35 to 154 of the family's 154-position model. The record is from RNAcentral.
GAUGAAGAACGUAGUGAAAUGCGAUAAGUAAUGUGAAUUGCAGAAUUCAGUGAAUCAUCGAAUCUUUGAACGCACAUUGCGCCCGCCAGUAUUCUGGCGGGCAUGCCUGUUCGAGCGUCAUUUCAACCAUCAAGCCCCAGGCUUGUGUUGGGGACCUGCGGCUGCCGCAGGCCCUGAAAACCAGUGGCGGGCUCGCUGUCACACCGGGCGUAGUAGAUUUUAUCUCGCUCUGGGCGUGCUGCGGGUUCCGGCCGUUAAAAAACCCUUUUAACCCAAGGUUGACCUCAGAUCAGGUAGGAAUACCCGCUGAACUUAAGCAUAUCAAUAAGCGGAGGA